Transfer RNA from Felis catus (domestic cat), 85 nucleotides. It matches the Rfam family "tRNA". Rfam says of the family: Transfer RNA (tRNA) molecules are approximately 80 nucleotides in length. Their secondary structure includes four short double-helical elements and three loops (D, anti-codon, and T loops). The record is from Rfam. Lineage: Eukaryota; Metazoa; Chordata; Mammalia; Carnivora; Felidae.
GCCUGGGUGGCUCAGUUGGUUGAGCAUCUGACUUUGGCUCAGGUCAUGAUCUCACGAUUUCUGGGUUCGAGCCCCACCUCAGGCU